UGUUUAUAUAAUCCUUGAGGACGGUGCAGGUGAAGAGAUUCGUUUUUUGGCGCGCGGGGGGAGGCACCGGAAGAACUAUCACGGUAGUGAGGCUCCAGCCUCCCUGUGACCUUACAAAGGACAAGCAGUUUGGAGAAAGGACAGAUGGAUGUUUCUGCUUACCUGUCGAGUCAUAGGUGGGAGGUACCACACAUUGCACACGAUGGCCCAGCUUGUCAUCAUCCUGAGGAGGUAGCUCACCAUGUUGUACUUGGCACUGUUCCAGAAGGCAUCUCCAAACUGAGGGUCAUACUGAAAGAGAGAAGUACAUGAGACAUCCUCAUUUCACUCACCGUUGGCUGACUGUGAUGGCAGUGCUGCCUGUUCCUUCUGUCCUCUUUGGAUCCUGAGAGUCGCCCACUGCCACAGAUCACAAGUUUAUUUUCAGG
Cyprinus carpio (common carp) is the source of this 428-nucleotide long non-coding RNA. RefSeq lists it as uncharacterized. Lineage: Eukaryota; Metazoa; Chordata; Actinopteri; Cypriniformes; Cyprinidae. The record is from RefSeq and is a predicted model, not a curated record.